Molecule: ribosomal RNA, 254 nt
Filed under: uncultured bacterium
Lineage: Bacteria
Description: partial 16S ribosomal RNA
Rfam family: Bacterial small subunit ribosomal RNA
Source: RNAcentral
UACGAAGGGGGCUAGCGUUGCUUGGAAUCACUGGGCGUAAAGCGCACGUAGGCGGAUCUUUAAGUCAGGGGUGAAAUCCUGGAGCUCAACUCCAGAACUGCCUUUGAUACUGGGGAUCUCGAGUCCGGGAGAGGUGAGUGGAACUCCGAGUGUAGAGGUGAAAUUCGUAGAUAUUCGGAAGAACACCAGUGGCGAAGGCGGCUCACUGGCCCGGUACUGACGCUGAGGUGCGAAAGCGUGGGGGAGCAAACAGG